RNAcentral lists this ribosomal RNA (390 nucleotides) under uncultured bacterium. Its description in RNAcentral is "bacterial SSU rRNA". It matches the Rfam family "Bacterial small subunit ribosomal RNA", at positions 29 to 420 of the family's 1533-position model. The record is from RNAcentral.
AUUAAACGCUGGCGGCAUGCCUUACACAUGCAAGUCGAACGGCAGCACGGGGGCAACCCUGGUGGCGAGUGGCGAACGGGUGAGUAAAGCAUCGGAACGUGCCCUGGAGUGGGGGAUAACGUAGCGAAAGUUACGCUAAUACCGCAUAUUCUGUGAGCAGGAAAGCAGGGGAUCGCAAGACCUUGCGCUUUGGGAGCGGCCGAUGUCGGAUUAGCUAGUUGGUGGGGUAAAGGCCUACCAAGGCGACGAUCCGUAGCGGGUCUGAGAGGAUGAUCCGCCACACUGGGACUGAGACACGGCCCAGACUCCUACGGGAGGCAGCAGUGGGGAAUUUUGGACAAUGGGCGCAAGCCUGAUCCAGCCAUGCCGCGUGAGUGAAGAAGGCCUCGG